This 4885-nucleotide ribosomal RNA is filed under the name Triticum aestivum (bread wheat). RNAcentral's name for it is "partial small subunit ribosomal RNA". The record is from RNAcentral. Lineage: Eukaryota; Viridiplantae; Streptophyta; Magnoliopsida; Poales; Poaceae.
CCCAAAUCCACUCCUCUCCUCUCCGGUCACCGGCUCCGGCAGCCCGCUCUGCGCUCGGGGAUGAGAAGCAGCCGCGCGAAGUGAAACUCCCCUUCCUCCCUUCCCCACCCCAAACCGAUGGCCCUUAACAACGCGAGCGCCACCCGCAAUCGCCCGCCGCCCACCGCCGCCGCAUGCCUCCCGCCACGCGGAAGGCGCAGGCGAGGAGGAGGUACCCGCACGCCGGGACAGGGCCGGCCGAGGUGGAACCACGGCAGAUGCAAUGCGAGGAGCAGCGUCUUGAGCCCACGGCCGGCCGGAGGUCGGCAUCCACACGCCCAAGGGCCACAUCCUCGGCAUGUUCCCCUACCCCAGGUAUACUGUACCUGCAUCUGUCAUUCUCUCCACACGAAAUUUGUGCUCGAAUUCGUUACUGCAGCAGUGGGUGCGUGAUACUGUAAUUUGUGCUCGUCCUGUUACUGUUAGGACUGCCAUAGCCGGUGAAGGAGAGAAGGUGGAUUUGAGAUGAAGAAGAAGGGGGGAGAGGUGAUGCUAGCAAUGCCUGCCUGCCGUAUACGGUAUACCUGGCACCUAGUACAAUUCAAUCAGGUAUUAUCAUGUGGAGAGGAAUGUUUGGAACAUUUCAUCUUGGCAGCCAUCUCUUUUGAAUCUAUCUGGUACUUCGUGUGGAGCAAGUUCGACGAUGUGGAUAGCUGGAUCCUGACUACAAAAUGUUGUGGACUAAUAAUUGAUUUUCCCGCAGCGCGACAAAGAUGGACGGACAAGUCUCCGGCUUGCCCCGUUUCUUCUCCUUGAUGACUGAAUUGGCACUUUGCAGACUCAAGCAAAAACUCUGCUUGGGCUUUACAGUAGGAUACUUCCUCAACCACAGAGCCAACUGUAUGCAAAUAUUUAUUCUGUGUUACUUGAUGGUGGCAAAGAAAUAAUGGUAACUGAUGCUCCCCUUUUCUACUAUUCAUCCCAGUCAAUGUUUCCAUGAUUGUGUGGAUUUUGGGUUGCAGAAGCUGUAGGUUGUAUAGUAAGCAGAGAAUAGUAUUUCUACUUUGAUAGACUGGUUCAAGCACACAUUUUCUUCAUCCACAUAGACCUCUCACAAGUUCCUUUUGUGCUCAGGCCUUUUUCAGUCAUAAAUAAGUGGCACUGAAGUCAAGAAGAAGUUUCAACUCCCCUAUUCCUCUAACAUAUAUCUGAGCACACACACACACACACACAUACACACACACAAUAUUUAACAAACACACUCCGUUAGAAGCUGUAGGUUGUAUAGCAAGCAGAGAAUAGUAUUUGUACUUCUAUAGACUGGUUUAUGCACACGUUUUCUCACAAGUUCCUUCCUGCUCAGGCUAUUUUUCAAUCAUCCGGCGGCGUGAGCUACUACCAAGCUAACCAAGACACGCUCAAGUCAAAGUAUAGAAGUUUCAACUUCCCUACCCUCACUUCCACAUAUAUCUAAGCACACACGCACACACACACACACACAAAUAUUUUAAUAAGCACACUCCAUUAGGACAAGAAGAGAGACAUGUCUCCUCAAGUUUUCCGCACCCAAUCUCUGAUUCCCCACCAUGCACUCUUCCUUCUUUGCACCAUCCUCAUAUUUCUAUCCUCCAACACAAUCAUAUUCUCAUCGGCACAGGCUACCAACAAAACCGAAGAUGACCGGCAAGCCCUUCUCUGCUUCAAAGCUGGCAUCUCCAAGGACCCUGCCGGUGUUCUUGGAUCAUGGCGCAAUGACUCGCUUAACUUCUGCAGCUGGCGAGGGGUCAACUGCAGCACCACCCUCCCGAUCCGUGUCGUGUCCCUCCAAUUGAGGUCUGCUCAGCUCACAGGAACACUAUCCAGCUGUACAGCUGCCCUUACUUCUCUAUUUCAGUUGAACCUUUGGAAUAAUAAGUUAUCUGGAAGCGUACCUGAAGACAUAGGUGAGCUUCGGAGCCUCCAAACCCUGAUGCUUGCUGGCAACAGGCUUUCAGGUAACAUCCCUCUGUCAUUAGGUACAGCUGCAUCUCUUAGAUAUGUCAACCUUGCAAACAAUUCUCUUAGUGGAGCUAUCCCUGAUUCCUUAGCAAAUAGUUUGUCACUCAGUGAGAUAAUCCUCUCACGUAAUAACAUAUCUGGGGUGAUCCCAGCUAAUUUAUUCAACUCAUCCAAACUUGUUGCUGUUGACCUCCGGUCGAAUGCUCUCUCCGGGCCUAUCCCACAUUUCCAAAAGAUGGAUGCUCUGCAAUUUCUUAAUCUUACAGGGAAUUCACUUUCUGGUACUAUACCAGCAUCUUUGGGCAAUGUUUCAUCAUUGCGUUCCCUCCUGCUAGCACAAAACAACUUAGCAGGAUCAGUUCCAGAAACUUUGGGUCAAAUUCCAAACCUAACAGUGCUAGAUCUAAGUAAUAACAUGUUCACGGGGUAUGUCCCAGUUACACUGUACAAUGUGUCAUCACUCACACUCUUUAGCUUAGGCACCAACAAUUUUAUUGGACACAUACCUUCUGAAAUUGGCCACUCACUUCCAAAUCUUCAAACAUUGGUAAUGGGAGGCAACGGAUUUCGUGGACCAAUCCCAGAUUCUCUGACCAACAUGUCAAAGCUCCAAGUGCUUGAUCUUUCAAGCAACUUGCUGACUGGCAUGGUGCCAUCCCUAGGAUCCUUGGCAGACAUGAGUCAACUGAUUUUACGUAAUAAUAAACUCGAAGCUGGCGACUGGGCCUUCCUUACCUCUCUGACCAAUUGCACUCAGUUGUUAAUAUUAUCAAUGGAUGGAAAUAUCCUGAAUGGAAGUUUGCCAAAAGCAGUAGGCAAACUUUCAACAAAGCUUCAGCGGUUAAGCUUUGGAAGAAACCAAAUUUCUGGAAACAUACCAGCUGAGAUAGGCAAGCUUGUAAGUCUCACUCUGCUUGACAUGGGCCAGAACAUGCUCUCUGGACCAAUUCCCCUGACAGUUUGGAACUUGAGAAACUUGGUUGUCCUAAAACUUUCCAUGAAUAGGUUGUCACGUCAGAUUCCAUCAACAGUUGGUAAUCUUGUUCAACUCAACCAGCUUGAUCUUGAUGGCAAUGAAUUGUCUGGAAACAUACCAGCAAAUAUAGGACAGUGCAAAAGGCUUGCUAUGCUGAACAUGUCAGUUAACCGCCUUGAUGGAUCCAUACCAAUAGAACUCUUUGGUAUUUCUUCCCUUUCAUUGGGUUUGGACUUGUCAAACAACCACCUGACUGGGCCUAUACCACAGGAAGUUGGUAACCUGAUCAAUCUUGGCCUCCUAAAUAUUUCCAAUAACAAAUUAUCUGGUGGCCUUCCUUAUGAACUUGGCCAGUGUGUUCAACUGCUAUCCCUUCAAAUAGAACGCAACAUGCUCAGCGGGUAUAUUCCUCAGUCUUUCAGUGCACUGAAGGUCAUACAGCAGAUAGAUCUGUCCGAGAACAAUUUAAUUGGUCAAGUUCCACAGUAUUUUGGGAACUUCAGCAGCUUAAAUUAUAUUAAUAUAUCAUACAACAAAUUGGAAGGGCCAAUCCCGACUGGUGGCAUAUUUGGAAAUUCAACUGCAGUAUUCCUGCAAGGCAACACAGGGUUAUGUGCAGUUAUUGCCAUAUUUGGACUGCCCAUUUGCCCCACCACCCCAGCAACAAAAAAGAAGAUAAAUGCACGCCUGCUGCUGAUAAUAACUGCAUUGAUUACUGUUGCUUUGUUCUCUAUUAUAUGUGUUGUUGUCACUGUUAUGAAGAGGACCAAAACUCAACCAUCUGAAAACUUCAAGGAAACAAUGAAGAGGGUGUCAUAUGGGAACAUCCUUAAAGCCACCAAUUGGUUCUCUGUAGUUAACCGGAUAAGCUCAAGUCAUACAGCAUCAGUCUACAUUGGUCGAUUUGAGUUCGAGACAGAUCUCGUGGCCAUCAAGGUGUUCCAUCUCAGUGAGCAGGGUUCGAGAACUAGCUUUUUCACCAAGUGCGAAGUUCUGAAAAACACCCGCCACCGCAAUCUGGUUCAAGCUAUCACCAUGUGCUCAACCGUAGAUUUCGAGGGCGAUGAAUUCAAGGCUAUAGUAUAUGAGUUCAUGGCAAACGGUAGCCUGGACAUGUGGAUACACCCAAGGGUUGGCAGCUCAAGGAGGCUGUUGAGCUUGGGCCAGCGGAUAAGUAUUGCUGCUGAUGUAGCUUCUGCUCUGGACUAUAUGCACAACCAGCUGACACCUCCUUUAAUUCACUGUGAUCUGAAGCCGAGCAAUGUUCUGCUGGACUACGACAUGACCUCAGCAUUGGCGACUUUGGGUCCGCCAAGUUUCUCUCUUCAAGUAUCGGCAGACCAGAAGGCUUGAUCGGUGUAGGAGGAACAAUCGGAUAUAUCGCUCCUGAAUACGGGAUGGGAUGCAAAGUCUCGACAGUCGGCGACGUGUACGGCUUCGGGGUGCUGCUACUGGAGAUGCUCACGGCGGUGCGACCUACGGAGGCACAAUGCAGCAACGCCCUCGGCCUCCACAAGUAUGUCGAUCAAGCCUUCCCCGAGAGGAUCGCUGAGAUUCUAGAUCCCCAUAUGCCUUCCGAGGAGGACGAGGCGGCUGCUUCUCUGCGUAUGCAAAACUACAUUAUACCUUUGGUCAGUAUUGGCCUGAUGUGUACCAUGGAUUCGCCGCAAGAUAGACCAGGUAUGCAUGAUGUCUGUGCCAGAAUUGUUGCCAUGAAAGAGGCAUUUGUCGAGACCUUGUGAUUACGGCAACUAGUGGGUUGAGCAGUGAGAUGUUUAAAGAUCAUGUAUAUACAUUCAGAAGAACAGUACGGUUACUACACUACUGUGAUGCCUAUAUACAUUAUUACAGUAGCUGUAUCACUUGUAGAAUAAUUCCAACAGUUUUUUGUAUGUAUCUGGUAAAUAUGAACCAUUAUGCUAUGUGCCCGCC